RNAcentral lists this long non-coding RNA (260 nucleotides) under Aplysia californica (California sea hare). RNAcentral describes it as "uncharacterized LOC118477411, transcript variant X2". The record is from RNAcentral. Lineage: Eukaryota; Metazoa; Mollusca; Gastropoda; Aplysiida; Aplysiidae.
UAUAAAAUGUUUUCCAAUUCCAGCUUCAGAUAUUCACAACCAAGCUUACAGGCACGACAAUCGGCGUAUCUGUUUUCGGUCUGUUUGUCAUCACAAAAGAGGCACUGCUUACGAUUGCUGGCGCCUACGUGACCUACUUCUUCGUCCUUACUCAGUUCAGAUUCUGAUAAAUGUUGACCUCAGAGCAGUCGGGUGGAAUUUAAAACAUUCUUCUCAAUUUGCUGCCGUGUUCAGACUCAAUAAAAGGUUAACUUUGUGAA